GAGAAACUCUUGGUAAAUUAAGUACAUUCCAAAAUGAUCUGCCUAUUUAUAAUAUUAAAGAGACACUUUUCCUUUUAGGAAUCCUUUUAGGAUUAGCAAUCAAAAGACUUUAGAUACCUGCAGGGGAUUACUUCUUUGCUGGAAGAGAAAUGAGCUGACACAGACGGAUGUCACCACAUUCCUUCUCUAAUAUACUGAAAAGUAUGUGCACUCUUAAACUGAGAUAGUGGGGGAAAGAUCAAAACUGAGCUUAUGACUCAUAAUGGCAGCUCCACUUCCAGAAUUCAGGCACAGAGCUGUUUUUCUGCUACUCCACCCAAUCAGUUUCUCUAUCUCUGAUGCUUCUGCCAUAUGCUGUUCCUGUGGCCUUGUCUACAGUAGAGAUUUCUCUGAAAAUUCCCCACAUUGUUAGCACCAGUUCAUCAAUGAAGAAGCCUGUUGUACACGAGGAAUUGGACCUGAUGACAUUGGUCUCACAAGAGGCUCAAUCAACUACAACUGAGGAUGAAACAUGAUCAUUCCUAACACCCUUGUAGUGUGUUUAUUUGGCGCGACGCACACUGGGCAACAAACCCAAUUGUUGCCUCCCUCAGGCACCUUGUGCCAGCAACAGUUUUUGGUGCCCAAUGUGGGGCUCGAGGCUAACAUUUCACCUUGCCCGGAUCCCUCCUGGGGUCGACGACUUGUGGCAACGACCGACGCCCAGCGCGCACUGGUGGUUUCAUCGGGGGCCUCGGCAGAGAUGUGGUUUGAUCGACCCCAGAGGGCACAACAGUGCAACGCACUCAAAUAGUGAAGAAGCGAUCAUGGGCGACGGUGUGGAACCGGUCCCUCGGACAAGAUUGCCCAACACCCCUGCUAGGACGAGACCUGCUUUGUCGAUUAGGUGCAUCACUGCAUUUUACCCAGGAUGAAAUAACCCUUGCAUUGCCCCCUGAAAAUGCAUAGAUAAUGACCCUCGCGAUUGAACCCUCGGCUAUGAAUGCCCCCCCGGAGUGGAACCAGUGGAAAGACCAGGUAUACCCUUUGGUGUGGGCAAGGGGGGUCCCUGGAAAGGCUACACAUCAAACCCCCAUUAAUAUCAAACCACUGCCGGGAAAAGGUCCGGUAUGAAUAAAGCAGUACCCAAUCAAAAAGGAAGCCA
This 1144-nucleotide long non-coding RNA is filed under the name Crocodylus porosus (Australian saltwater crocodile). RNAcentral's name for it is "lncRNA (ENSCPRG00005005250.1)". Lineage: Eukaryota; Metazoa; Chordata; Crocodylia; Crocodylidae. The record is from RNAcentral.